UGACUCUGAUAAUGUUGGCUGACUGUCCUA
Molecule: small RNA, 30 nt
Filed under: Bombyx mori (domestic silkworm)
Lineage: Eukaryota; Metazoa; Arthropoda; Insecta; Lepidoptera; Bombycidae
Description: ovarian small RNA-31936
Source: RNAcentral